Molecule: ribosomal RNA, 345 nt
Filed under: uncultured Acidobacteriota bacterium
Lineage: Bacteria; Pseudomonadati; Acidobacteriota
Description: bacterial SSU rRNA
Rfam family: Bacterial small subunit ribosomal RNA
Source: RNAcentral
UGAUCCUGGCUCAGAAUCAACGCUGGCGGCGUGCCACAGACAUGCAAGUCGAACGAUUAAAGCUCCCUUCGGGGAGUGCAUAAAGUGGCGCACGGGUGAGUAACACGUAAGUAAUCUACCCUCGGGUGGGGAAUAACGUUCGGAAACGGACGCUAAUACCGCAUAAUGCAGCGGCACCGCAAGGUGACAGUUGUUAAAGAUUUAUUGCCUGGGGAGGAGCUUGCGGCAGAUUAGCUUGUUGGUAAGGUAACGGCUUACCAAGGCUACGAUCUGUAUCCGGUCUAAGAGGACGGUCGGACACACUGACACUGAAUAACGGGUCAGACUCCUACGGGAGGCAGCAGA